UGACCUAGCGGCGGACGGGUGAGUAAUACUUAGGAAUCUGCCUAUUAAUGGGGGACAACAUCUCGAAAGGGAUGCUAAUACCGCAUACGCCCUACGGGGGAAAGCAGGGGAUCACUUGUGACCUUGCGUUAAUAGAUGAGCCUAAGUCGGAUUAGCUAGUUGGUGGGGUAAAGGCCUACCAAGGCGACGAUCUGUAGCGGGUCUGAGAGGAUGAUCCGCCACACUGGGACUGAGACACGGCCCAGACUCCUACGGGAGGCAGCAGUGGGGAAUAUUGGACAAUGGGGGGAACCCUGAUCCAGCCAUGCCGCGUGUGUGAAGAAGGCCUUAUGGUUGUAAAGCACUUUAAGCGAGGAGGAGGCUCUUUUGGUUAAUACCCAAGAUGAGUGGACGUUACUCGCAGAAUAAGCACCGGCUAACUCUGUGCCAGCAGCCGCGGUAAUACAGAGGGUGCGAGCGUUAAUCGGAUUUACUGGGCGUAAAGCGUGCGUAGGCGGCUUUUUAAGUCGGAUGUGAAAUCCCCGAGCUUAACUUGGGAAUUGCAUUCGAUACUGGGAAGCUAGAGUAUGGGAGAGGAUGGUAGAAUUCCAGGUGUAGCGGUGAAAUGCGUAGAGAUCUGGAGGAAUACCGAUGGCGAAGGCAGCCAUCUGGCCUAAUACUGACGCUGAGGUACGAAAGCAUGGGGAGCAAACAGGAUUAGAUACCCUGGUAGUCCAUGCCGUAAACGAUGUCUACUAGCCGUUGGGGUCUUUGAGACUUUAGUGGCGCAGCUAACGCGAUAAGUAGACCGCCUGGGGAGUACGGUCGCAAGACUAAAACUCAAAUGAAUUGACGGGGGCCCGCACAAGCGGUGGAGCAUGUGGUUUAAUUCGAUGCACCGCGAAGAACCUUACCUGGUCUUGACAUAGUAAGAACUUUCCA
RNAcentral lists this ribosomal RNA (921 nucleotides) under Acinetobacter bereziniae. RNAcentral describes it as "bacterial SSU rRNA". It matches the Rfam family "Bacterial small subunit ribosomal RNA", at positions 88 to 1002 of the family's 1533-position model. The record is from RNAcentral. Lineage: Bacteria; Pseudomonadati; Pseudomonadota; Gammaproteobacteria; Moraxellales; Moraxellaceae.